Molecule: ribosomal RNA, 314 nt
Filed under: Staphylococcus aureus
Lineage: Bacteria; Bacillati; Bacillota; Bacilli; Caryophanales; Staphylococcaceae
Description: bacterial SSU rRNA
Rfam family: Bacterial small subunit ribosomal RNA
Source: RNAcentral
AAGCCCACGGCUCAACCGUGGAGGGUCAUUGGAAACUGGAAAACUUGAGUGCAGAAGAGGAAAGUGGAAUUCCAUGUGUAGCGGUGAAAUGCGCAGAGAUAUGGAGGAACACCAGUGGCGAAGGCGAUUUUCUGGUCUGUAACUGACGCUGAUGUGCGAAAGCGUGGGGAUCAAACAGGAUUAGAUACCCUGGUAGUCCACGCCGUAAACGAUGAGUGCUAAGUGUUAGGGGGUUUCCGCCCCUUAGUGCUGCAGCUAACGCAUUAAGCACUCCGCCUGGGGAGUACGACCGCAAGGUUGAAACUCAAAGGAAU